CACAAAUAAAGGACAAGCUUGAAGACAGAAAGAUGGCUGCAGUAACGUUAUUUCAAAGCAGCUCAAGCUUUGGAAACUGAUCUGUUUGAGCAGAGAGGACAGAUGGGAAGGUGGGAGCUGGACAGACUGAAGCCUAACGCACUGCUUCAUUCCUGUAUUCACAUAAAGAUGAAGAAAGAGCUAGUGCCCAUUGAUGUCAUUAUCAAAGGGUCGUGGGGACCUGGAGCCUAUCCCAGGAGACUUAGGGCACAAGGCGGGGUACAUCCUGGAGAGGGGGCCAAUCCAUCAUAGGGCACUUAUCAUGUCAAUAAAAGAAAAAGAAAGUUAACUCAAUUUGAUUAAUAAAUGAAUUUU
Molecule: long non-coding RNA, 354 nt
Organism: Clarias gariepinus (North African catfish)
Lineage: Eukaryota; Metazoa; Chordata; Actinopteri; Siluriformes; Clariidae
Exons: 3
Source: RefSeq, a predicted model, not a curated record